AUCAGAUCAAAAUUCUGGAGGAGAAUUUCACCAGAGUCAGCAAGCAUCCGGAUGAGUCGACACUCAUGUUAAUCGCAGCUGAAAGCGGACUAACCGAGGAAGAGACAGCGGAUUCACAAUUACACCUUUGGUGUUGUUUUGGAGGAAGACAUGUGAGCUGGGUUCAUUUUAUAUGAAAGUUUCAGAAAUGGUUCAGGCUACGCAACGCACGGUGGAGACAGGCAGAGGGCCUUCCAGCUCAACUGGGAUCAGUGAAAGACUGAAAUUGGAGUGGUGAAGGAAACCUCCCCCUCACCCCGUUGCUUCUCUGACUGAUCUGCCACGCCCUUACCGACCAACUCCCAGGACACAUCAACCACUCAUACCUUCCUUCCAUCAUUCUCUCUCCUUUGUAUCUAAGCUAUUUUCAUUUAGUGAAUGUGUGAAGUGUAAUGCGAGUCAAUGUUUUUUGCCAAUAUAAUUGGCAUGUUUACAUAUAAUAAUAAAUAAACAAACAUAUAUUACAAAUGA
Molecule: long non-coding RNA, 510 nt
Organism: Salvelinus namaycush (lake trout)
Lineage: Eukaryota; Metazoa; Chordata; Actinopteri; Salmoniformes; Salmonidae
Exons: 3
Source: RefSeq, a predicted model, not a curated record